This 254-nucleotide ribosomal RNA is filed under the name uncultured bacterium. Its description in RNAcentral is "partial 16S ribosomal RNA". It matches the Rfam family "Bacterial small subunit ribosomal RNA", at positions 524 to 776 of the family's 1533-position model. The record is from RNAcentral.
UACGGGGGGAGCAAGCGUUGUUCGGAUUUACUGGGCGUAAAGGGCGCGUAGGCGGCCUCCGCAAGUCGACUGUGAAAUCUCCGGGCUUAACCCGGAACGGUCAGCCGAUACUGCGGGGCUAGGGUGCAGAAGGGGCAACUGGAAUUCUCGGUGUAGCGGUGAAAUGCGUAGAGAUGUGGAGGAACACCAGUGGCGAAGGCGGCUUUUUGGUCUGUAACUGACGCUGAGGCGCGAAAGCGUGGGGAGCGAACAGG